Molecule: ribosomal RNA, 468 nt
Filed under: uncultured bacterium
Lineage: Bacteria
Description: partial 16S ribosomal RNA
Rfam family: Bacterial small subunit ribosomal RNA
Source: RNAcentral
GACGAACGCUGGCGGCGUGCUUAACACAUGCAAGUCGAACGGAAAGGCCCUGCUUUUGUGGGGUGCUCGAGUGGCGAACGGGUGAGUAACACGGGAGUAACCUGCCCUUGACUUUGGGAUAACUUUAGGAAACUGGGGCUAAUACCGGAUAGGAGCUCCUGCUGCAUGGUGGGGGUUGGAAAGGUUCGGCGGUUGGGGAUGGACUCGCGGCUUAUCAGCUUGUUGGUGGGGUAGUGGCUUACCAAGGCUUUGACGGGUAGCCGGCCUGAGAGGGUGACCGGCCACAUUGGGACUGAGAUACGGCCCAGACUCCUACGGGAGGCAGCAGUGGGGAAUAUUGCACAAUGGGCGGAAGCCUGAUGCAGCAACGCCGCGUGCGGGAUGACGGCCUUCGGGUUGUAAACCGCUUUCGCCUGUGACGAAGCGUGAGUGACGGUAAUGGGUAAAGAAGCACCGGCUAACUACGUG